This 30-nucleotide non-coding RNA is filed under the name Cricetulus griseus (Chinese hamster). The record is from RNAcentral. Lineage: Eukaryota; Metazoa; Chordata; Mammalia; Rodentia; Cricetidae.
UGUAGACCAGGUUGGCCUCAGACUCAGAGA